Molecule: non-coding RNA, 207 nt
Filed under: uncultured Eubacteriales bacterium
Lineage: Bacteria; Bacillati; Bacillota; Clostridia; Eubacteriales
Source: RNAcentral
AAAAGCGCGAUGACGAGGAAGAGUAGCGCCCCCAGUGUGUCUGUAAAGAGAGCCGCCGUUUGGUGAAAGGCGGACGGGCCGGGAGCGUGAAGAUCACCCUUUGAGCGUUCCGGUCGGACGCCGUUAUACGCCCAUCUUAAGUGGCUGCGUAUUUUUUAUGCGGCAAAAAGAGUGGUACCGCAGAGGUGUUUCGCCCCUGUCUCUUAA